GCACGGGUGAGUAACGCGUAUCCAACCUGCCCUUCACCACGGGAUAACCCGGCGAAAGUCGGACUAAUACCGUAUGUUGUCCAUUGACGGCAUCCGAUUUGGACGAAAGGCUUGGCGGUGAGGGAUGGGGAUGCGUCCGAUUAGCCAGACGGCGGGGUAACGGCCCACCGUGGCUACGAUCGGUAGGGGUUCUGAGAGGAAGGUCCCCCACACUGGGACUGAGACACGGUCCAGACUCCUACGGGAGGCAGCAGUGAGGAAUAUUGGUCAAUGGGCGUAAGCCUGAACCAGCCAAGUAGCGUGCAGGAUGACGGCCCUAUGGGUUGUAAACUGCUUUUAUGCGGGGAUAAAGUGGCCCACGUGUGGGUUUUUGCAGGUACCGCAUGAAUAAGGACCGGCUAAUUCCGUGCCAGCAGCCGCGGUAAUACGG
This 430-nucleotide ribosomal RNA is filed under the name uncultured Prevotella sp. RNAcentral describes it as "bacterial SSU rRNA". It matches the Rfam family "Bacterial small subunit ribosomal RNA", at positions 100 to 528 of the family's 1533-position model. Lineage: Bacteria; Pseudomonadati; Bacteroidota; Bacteroidia; Bacteroidales; Prevotellaceae. The record is from RNAcentral.